AAUAAGUUUUUGUGCCCCUCACCUUUGAAUCCAGCACUGAAGAAGUCAAAGCCUGGCUGGAGGCCAAGUCAUUCAGCAAAGAGACCGUGGAACACCUGGGCAUCCUCACCGGAGCUCAGCUCUUCUCCCUCAACAGAGAGGAGCUGAAGAAGGUGUGUGGUGAUGAGGGAAACAGAGUGUACAGCAAGAUCACGGUGAAGAAAAACCAGCUGGAGAAAAGCAGAGGGGAGUCAGAGCUCCAAGAAAUCAUGAAGCGCCGCCAGGAAAGGAUUGAUUCUGCUAAUUAAAGUCUCUCUGCUUUAUUUCAGCUCUUAGCCCUAAGUAGUGCAGCAAAAAAGGGAAUGAAAGCAAUUAUUCCCGGCCCAGGCCGGAGGCAGCAGAGCUCCCCUUGGGGUCCAGCUGCCAUCAGAGUGACAAUUCCUUGAACACUGUUGGGAAGGGUUGACAAUGAUACCAUAUCCCGCUGGGAAAGGUGUUUUAAUUUUGCAUGAAGUAUUUUUUUUAUAACUAUAUAUUUUAUACUGAAAUUUUCCAUGCAUGCAAUCAGAGCAGGAUUCACACGGGGCUGGAUGUACGACAAGGCUGCAUUCAAAGACCCCCAAAGUUUUCUCUGAGGGCUGUCCCUGCUCCCACCCCUCGCUGGCAGAGCAGGCGUGGCACACAGUCAGGAGAGGCCAGCCCCAAGGCCUGGAGCCUGCCCCACAGGAAUAAGGCUUUGGAGCCCUGCAGGGGUUUGGGUUUAAGGAAAGGACAUUGAAGCUCAUCCUGUUCCAUCCCCCAUCGUGGGCAGGGACGCCUUUCACAAGGCCGAGUUGUUCAAAUCCUGUCCAGCCUGGCCUUGGGCACUUCAGGGAUGGGGAGUGACCUAAGGCAGCCCCAUUUCCAUUUCCUCCUCAGUGCAGGUGUCCCCUGCAGCCCAAGAGCACAGGCCCGGUGACAACUCCCUGUCCCCUCCUGUCCCCCUGUGUCCCCUCAUUGGACAAGGCUGGAAUGGCAACACGCAUUCCCAAAGUCUGGCUGCUUCCUUAAAUCCACAGACCAGUUAGUGCUGUCUCUGAGCAGCUGAAAUGAGCUCUCAGGGCCUAGAAAUGAGCAGGAGUGACACACAAAGGGAUCUGAAUGUGGACAUGGGUGAGUUCCACCUGCCCACUGCUGCUGAUGGGCUCAGGGCAGCUGUGCAGCCCUUCCCUGGGCCGCUGAUCCUGCACUGGAAUGUUGUGGUGCUGCCAAACCCGGCCUCAGACCAGGAGAAGAUAAGCCCUGGCCAUUUGCUCCCAUCCCAGGCACACCCACAGCCCUUCCCAGGGUGUUGGUCACUCAUCCCCACCUUCACGUUUCCACUGUAAAAAGUCAGCUGAAAUGAUUCCCAAAUAGCUGAAACCCUAAAGCAUGCUGGGAAAGGCAGGUUUAACUCCAAAUAAAUGGGCACAAGAAAAACAAAAAUCUAAUUUAACACAGGAUGUUGCUUUUGACUUCCUGUUGUCCUUCAUGAAGUUAUGUGCAUUUGUAUAUAACAAUCUGUAAAUAGGGGGUGAGGAAAAUCUCUCUCCCUAGAGGCAGAUAUAGUGAUUAUACUUCCAAAAUUUACUCACAAUUUCAAAACUCAAGCAAGCAGCAUAGUUCCUGUCCACAGCAAGUUUGGCACAUUGCUUUUCUAUCUCUAUAAGUGACAGACCAACCUGAUUGCAAAGCAGUGAAGCAAACACAGCUCCAGAGCUGCCACAGCCAGGGACAGUUGGGUUUUCUCUCUCAGCACGUGCUGAGUCUUUGCCCAAAUUUGUGUCUGUCCUUGCACAUUUAAUGGAAAAAGCUUUAACACAGCGUCUGGGGAACUCGUGUCUAAAUCUGAGAGCACCAGUGCACCUCAGUUUUGGCUUUAUUCUUAAGUGUCUCCAAUGGAUAAUCUGUUUUCUUCAUUUGAAAGAGGACACUGCUGGCACCAGCAGAAUUAGGGUGCAGGCAGGGGGGGAUCCUGGGUUUAGUCACAGCCUUGCUGGGAUCUGAGAAGGGCACUCACCUUGUCAGGGAGGGAUGAAGAGGACAAUCCUCCUGAGAAGCCCUGGCUCUGGAUUAGGUUGGAGAAGGGAAGCAGGAUGGCAAGCACAGGAGGUGAAAAAUUUCUACAAUGAAAAUAAAAACAAAUGUUGAGCUAGGAAACACCCCACCUUUUAGUCCUGGGGUGUAGAGGAAAGCAAAUCACAGGGAAUUACAGUUACCUGGGAUUUCAACAGGAGUGUACAUGACAGCUCUGUAAAGCUGGGAGCCACAGCAGCACUUCCUAAAACAGAUAUCUCAGCAGACCUUAUUGCAGAGGUCACUUUUACAAAUUUCAUGCGACUGAGCUGUGCACCUGAUCUGUUUGUACUGCCUGCAGACACUGCUAUAAAGUACUGUACGUGAUGUAACUGAGCGAAGGAGACAAUGAUAUAACCAUGCACUGUACAAGAGUUAUUAAAAUAGUUAAGUUAUACUUAUAAA
Long non-coding RNA from Taeniopygia guttata (zebra finch), 2478 nucleotides. RefSeq lists it as uncharacterized. NCBI's taxonomy places the organism in Eukaryota, Metazoa, Chordata, Aves, Passeriformes, Estrildidae. The record is from RefSeq and is a predicted model, not a curated record.